AUUCCAGCUCCAGUAGCGUAUAUUAAAGUUGUUGCAGUUAAAAAGCUCGUAGUUGGAUUUCUGACUUCAAACACCUGACCCUCCCUCGCUAGAGGUGUGUGUGCCGGAGUGUUUGUAUCAUCCUUUCAGUGAUCGGUUCUACCCUUAACCGGGUCGGAACUGUUAACUGGAUCUUUUACUUUGAAGAAAUUGGAGUGUUUAAAGCAGGCUUACGCCAGAACAUAUUAGCAUGGAAUAAUAAUUUAGGACUUUUGUUCUAUUUUGUUGGUUUCUAGGACGAAAGUAAUGAUUGAUAGGGAUAGUUGGGGGUGCUAGUAUUCGGCGGCCAGAGGUGAAAUUCUUUGAUCCGCUGAAGACUAACUUAUGCGAAAGCAUUCACCAAGGAUGUCUUCAUCA
This 396-nucleotide ribosomal RNA is filed under the name Cercozoa sp. RNAcentral describes it as "partial small subunit ribosomal RNA". It matches the Rfam family "Eukaryotic small subunit ribosomal RNA", at positions 582 to 975 of the family's 1831-position model. The record is from RNAcentral. Lineage: Eukaryota; Cercozoa.